RNAcentral lists this ribosomal RNA (476 nucleotides) under uncultured bacterium. RNAcentral describes it as "partial 16S ribosomal RNA". It matches the Rfam family "Bacterial small subunit ribosomal RNA", at positions 29 to 507 of the family's 1533-position model. The record is from RNAcentral.
AUUAACGCUGGCGGCGUGCAUAACACAUGCCAGUCGAACGAUGAAACUUAAAUGAUUUCUUCGGAAUGAACUUAAGUGGAUUAGUGGCGGACGGGUGAGUAACGCGUGAGUAACCUGCCUUACACAAGGGGAUAGCCGUUGGAAACGACGAAUAAUACCCUAUGAAACUAUCACUUCGCAUGAAGCGAUAGUCAAAGUGUUAGCGGUGUAAGAUGGACUUGCGUCUGAUUAGCUAGUUGGUGAGAAAAAAGCCCACCAAGGCAACGAUCAGUAGCCGGCUUGAGAGAGUGUACGGCCACAUUGGGACUGAGACACGGCCCAGACUCCUACGGGAGGCAGCAGUGGGGAAUUUUGCACAAUGGGGGAAACCCUGAUGCAGCGACGCCGCGUGAUUUAGAAGGCCUUCGGGUUGUAAAAAUCUUUUGUAUAGGAAGAAAAUGACAGUACUAUACGAAUAAGGUCCGGCUAAUUACGUG